GUGCUCACUUUGGCAGCACAUAGACUAAAAUUGGAACGAUACAGAGAAGAUUAGCAUGGCUCCUGCACAAGGAUGACACGCAAAUUCGUGAAGCAUGCCAUAUUUUU
Small nuclear RNA from Otolemur garnettii (small-eared galago), 107 nucleotides. Lineage: Eukaryota; Metazoa; Chordata; Mammalia; Primates; Galagidae. The record is from Ensembl.